This 627-nucleotide ribosomal RNA is filed under the name uncultured Bacillota bacterium. Its description in RNAcentral is "uncultured Firmicutes bacterium partial 16S ribosomal RNA". Lineage: Bacteria; Bacillati; Bacillota. The record is from RNAcentral.
CAUCCACUCCAUUGCCGAGUGGAUCCGCUGCUACGCAUCGGCUGGACUCUCCCACUAGCCGGUGUGACCCUGACUCUGUGCCGGGUCUGAGGAUGCCCUCCGUCGUCAUCCCUUAGAAGCCGUUACCUGCUUUCAGACUGGCUCGUUGCGGCGCACUCACUACUUCCAAAAGCCUAGCAUUUUGAGACAACAGUCCCUUCUUGUUCAUGCUCUCAUUGACGAGCAUGGAACUGCCAUGGACUGGUCUUUCGGUGCCGAUUGAUGCACGGUCGUCGGCGCCAUUAUGCAUCCACCGUUCGCAACAGGCCUUAAUAACCCGCAUUUCGCGCGCGUCCGCCAAGAAAUUCAGACUACACUUUCGGGUGCCGAGUUGGCACCUCCCAGUAACCUUUGACCCCUUGAACUCACGUCCUCUCUUUUCACCUUAAGGUGCACAUCGCCACUUUACGCAUCUCUACACCUCCUUGUGGUCACCGCUUCCGCCGAAAAACCGGACAUUGACUGCGACUCCGCGCUUUCGCACCCCUCGUUUGUCCUAAUCUAUGGGACCAUCAGGUGCGGCAUUUGCUACUCACGAUCCACAACCCCCCAAGGUGGGAGUCACGACUGCAAUUGUGUAAUUCGUGA